Molecule: ribosomal RNA, 253 nt
Filed under: uncultured bacterium
Lineage: Bacteria
Description: partial 16S ribosomal RNA
Rfam family: Bacterial small subunit ribosomal RNA
Source: RNAcentral
UACGAAGGGGGCUAGCGUCGCUCGGAAUUACUGGGCGUAAAGCGCACGUAGGCGGAUUGUUAAGUCGGGGGUGAAAUCCUGGAGCUCAACUCCAGAACUGCCUUCGAUACUGGCGAUCUCGAGUUCGGGAGAGGUGAGUGGAACUGCGAGUGUAGAGGUGAAAUUCGUAGAUAUUCGCAAGAACACCAGUGGCGAAGGCGGCUCACUGGCCCGAUACUGACGCUGAGGUGCGAAAGCGUGGGGAGCAAACAGG